UUAGUAAAGCACAAAUGGAGACUUAUCUUCUUCACCUCCACAGACAAAUCUCCACAAAAGAUUACGGUAUUGAAUACAAUCUAUGACACCUGGGUUUUUAACAUUUUCAUUUUUCAGGUUUGUCCAUAACCUGUGCCCUUCAAAACAAACUUCAAAACCAUCUACUUAGCAUCAGUCACACACCUGGUUGGUUGGGUUUCUGCUUUGUUCUGAUUGUUGGGUGUUUUUUUGAAUGGUUGGUUGGUUGGUUGGUUUUUAAGCAGCAGGCUACAAAAAAAAAAAAAAAAAAAAAAAAAAAAAAAAAAAAAAAAAAAAAAACCACCAGAAGGAAGAAGGAAUUUCUGGACUUCAAGAAGUGAAUUCCAGAUCUGUCUGACAUCCCACUUCAACUGUCCUUCCUGUCGUCAAUUCCAUGGCCCAGUUUAGGAAUGUGAAAAUAAGGGCCUCACAUGGCUGAACCAACCCAAACGCCAAGCGAUACCCUGAACUGACUGGCCUGGACUAGCCCCCUCUGGGAAGCACCACAGGUUUCCCUGAUGUCCAGGGAAGAGUGAAGUCCUAGUUCUCUAGACAAAUAGGGUGAGGAAGACAGUCUGGCUGAACAAUGCCUUGGGGGAGGGGAGAGACAACACCCCCACAACCCUCCCAAGCUGUUGGCCACCCACAGACUCAUCCCGUUUCUUAAAGGGAAAAAAGAAA
RNAcentral lists this long non-coding RNA (699 nucleotides) under Rattus norvegicus (Norway rat). RNAcentral describes it as "long non-coding RNA NONRATT006879". The record is from RNAcentral. Lineage: Eukaryota; Metazoa; Chordata; Mammalia; Rodentia; Muridae.